CGCGGAUGAACGGACAAGUGGAAGUGACGAACAUAAUAAAACAGAGGAAGAUAUUCAAUAUCAAAAAUGGGCAACUCAAUGGGCCGUUAAAUGAAACAUUUUCGGGCCCAUAUCUAUAUACCAUUCCCCUUCCCCAAGCAAGCCAUUUUAAUACCCUUUCGCUCCCCCACCCUCCCUCUCCCUCUCUUCCCCCACAUCACACACCCGACUUAGCGACCUUGAAGCAUAGUUGGUCGGUAUGGCGACGCCGAUGGUGGAGGACAACUUCGAGGACGACCAGCUCUCCUCCAUGACCACCGAGGACAUUACUCGCGCCUCUCGUCUUCUUGAUAACGAAAUCCGUAUUCUCAAGGAAGAGUUACAGAGGACGAAUCUGGAGUUGGAUUCGUUCCGCGAGAAGAUAAAAGAGAAUCAGGAAAAAAUCAAGCUGAAUAAGCAGCUUCCUUACUUGGUCGGAAACAUUGUAGAGAUAUUGGAAAUGAACCCAGAGGAAGAAGCUGAAGAAGACGGUGCAAAUAUUGAUCUUGACUCACAAAGGAAGGGAAAAUGUGUUGUGUUAAAAACAUCUACACGCCAGACAAUUUUCCUUCCUGUAGUCGGUUUGGUCGAUCCUGAUACGUUGAAGCCUGGAGAUCUUGUUGGAGUAAACAAAGACAGUUAUCUCAUAUUGGACACUUUGCCGUCUGAGUAUGACUCUCGUGUUAAGGCUAUGGAGGUUGAUGAGAAACCAACUGAGGAUUACAAUGAUAUUGGUGGCUUAGAGAAACAGAUUCAGGAGUUGGUUGAGGCAAUUGUGUUGCCAAUGACACACAAAGAGAGAUUUCAGAAAUUAGGAGUUCGUCCACCAAAAGGAGUCCUUCUAUACGGUCCCCCUGGAACAGGGAAAACCCUGAUGGCCCGUGCAUGUGCAGCCCAAACUAAUGCUACUUUUCUGAAGCUAGCAGGUCCCCAACUCGUUCAGAUGUUUAUUGGAGAUGGAGCAAAGCUUGUCCGUGAUGCUUUCCAACUUGCUAAAGAAAAAUCCCCUUGCAUCAUUUUUAUCGAUGAGAUAGAUGCAAUUGGCACAAAACGUUUUGAUAGUGAAGUUAGUGGCGACAGAGAAGUUCAAAGAACUAUGUUGGAAUUGCUCAACCAACUUGAUGGUUUUAGCAGCGAUGAUCGGAUAAAGGUAAUAGCAGCAACCAAUCGAGCUGAUAUUUUAGAUCCUGCCUUAAUGCGGUCCGGUCGAUUGGAUCGUAAAAUUGAAUUUCCUCACCCUACCGAGGAAGCAAGGGCUCGCAUUUUGCAGGUAUAUCUUCUACUCCCUCCGUCCUUGAAACAACUUGCUCAAAGUAAUGGACGUAGAUUUUAAGAAAACUUAGUAUCUAUUUGGUGAGUAGAGAAGGGGCCCCAUAAUUUAGAAAAAGUGGUGAGCUUAGAGGGUGUUUGACUUAGCUUAUUUUAAAGAGCUUAUAAGCUCUUGUAACUUAUAAGAUGUUUCGAGAGCUUAUAAGAUGUAGUUUUUUAACAGCUUAUAAGUUGUCAAAGUGUUUUGAUAAUUGAGCUUAUAAGCCAUAGAGAGAAUUUUUAAUUAUAGAGAGAAAAUCUUUGUUAGAGAGAAUAAAAAAGAAAUAAAAUUAGAAUGAUAUAUGAUGAAAAUAAAAAGUCAUAGUUGAGUUAUUUUUAUAAAAUAAGUGUUGCUUAUAAGACAAUGAGAAAAUAAGUUGGGGUUAGAUGAACUUAUUUUUGGGGGAGCUUAUAAGCUCUUAGAGCUUAUUUUUACAGCUUAUAAACUCUUUAGGAAUUUAUUCAACCAAACACUUUGAAGGAGUUUAUAAGCUCAGCCAAACACCCUCUUAGUGGGUUUAUGUGGGUCUAUUAGUGGCAAUAUGUGUAAACAUGUUGGAAUUUUAAGGGUGGUAAUUUGUGAGAUUAUGUCAAAAAAAAAGGAGUAGGAAGAUAAUUUGUGGACGGUCGACGGAAAAGGAAAAUUAGGAAGAUAUUUUGUGGAUGGAGGGGGUAU
Salvia miltiorrhiza (redroot sage) is the source of this 2002-nucleotide RNA transcript. It is a transcript of the gene named 26S proteasome regulatory subunit 6A homolog, with no coding region annotated. Lineage: Eukaryota; Viridiplantae; Streptophyta; Magnoliopsida; Lamiales; Lamiaceae. The record is from RefSeq and is a predicted model, not a curated record. The transcript has 9 exons.